This 340-nucleotide ribosomal RNA is filed under the name Burkholderia gladioli. RNAcentral's name for it is "bacterial SSU rRNA". It matches the Rfam family "Bacterial small subunit ribosomal RNA", at positions 20 to 358 of the family's 1533-position model. Lineage: Bacteria; Pseudomonadati; Pseudomonadota; Betaproteobacteria; Burkholderiales; Burkholderiaceae. The record is from RNAcentral.
UGGCUCAGAACGAACGCUGGCCCGGCAUGCCUUACACAUGCAAGUCGAACGGCAGCACGGGUGCUUGCACCUGGUAGCGAGUGGCGAACGGGUGAGUAAUACAUCGGAACAUGUCCUGUAGUGGGGGAUAGCCCGGCGAAAGCCGGAUUAAUACCGCAUACGAUCCACGGAUGAAAGCGGGGGACCUUCGGGCCUCGCGCUAUAGGGUUGGCCGAUGGCUGAUUUGCUAGUUGGUGGGGUAAAGGCCCACCAAGGCGACGAUCAGUAGCUGGUCUGAGAGGACGACCAGCCACACUGGGACUGAGACACGGCCCAGACUCCUACGGGAGGCAGCAGUGGG